CCCUGUCAUUACUUGAUUCUCCUUUGCCUAAUCACCUUUUCUUGAAUCCUUAUCUUCUUCUCCUCAUAAAUUUCUUAAAUUUCCUUGUAAUGAGGGCUAUGUCUUCGUCAUUUUCAUCAUCUUCGAUUGUCUCCUCAACUUCUUCAUCAAUUGCUGCAAAUUUAAGGAUAAUAGUCUUCUUCUUUCGGCCUUCAUCCUCAUUAUACUGCUUUAUUGCCAAUUUAUGC
Molecule: long non-coding RNA, 227 nt
Filed under: Elaeis guineensis (African oil palm)
Lineage: Eukaryota; Viridiplantae; Streptophyta; Magnoliopsida; Arecales; Arecaceae
Description: long non-coding RNA (EGUI_LNC034474)
Source: RNAcentral